UGGAGGUCCCCUGUUUAUCCACAGAAGUGGUUCAGCACAGACAGUAGCGGUGCAAGCUUUCCCACACUUGCCUGUCAAGAAGUCUCAGCACUGACACAGAAGUACCACUUCUAGGAGUACAAGAUAGCAUUUCAGCAUAGGCUGAA
Molecule: small RNA, 146 nt
Filed under: Chrysemys picta bellii (western painted turtle)
Lineage: Eukaryota; Metazoa; Chordata; Testudines; Emydidae
Description: TUC338 (ENSCPBG00000015974.1)
Source: RNAcentral